GGGACUUAGGUUAAACAUAAACCAAGGGCCUUCAAAGCCCUAAACAAGAGUGAAAGUCUCUUCGUCCCUG
Molecule: transfer RNA, 70 nt
Filed under: Scriptaphyosemion brueningi
Lineage: Eukaryota; Metazoa; Chordata; Actinopteri; Cyprinodontiformes; Nothobranchiidae
Description: tRNA-Trp
Rfam family: tRNA
About the family: Transfer RNA (tRNA) molecules are approximately 80 nucleotides in length. Their secondary structure includes four short double-helical elements and three loops (D, anti-codon, and T loops).
Source: RNAcentral